This 253-nucleotide ribosomal RNA is filed under the name uncultured bacterium. RNAcentral's name for it is "partial 16S ribosomal RNA". It matches the Rfam family "Bacterial small subunit ribosomal RNA", at positions 524 to 776 of the family's 1533-position model. The record is from RNAcentral.
UACAGAGGUCCCAAGCGUUGUUCGGAAUUACUGGGCGUAAAGGGCGCGUAGGCGGCCUUCUAAGUCGGACGUGAAAGCCCCAGGCUUAACCUGGGAACUGCGUCCGAUACUGGGAGGCUUGGAUUCGGGAGAGGGAUGUGGAAUUCCAGGUGUAGCGGUGAAAUGCGUAGAUAUCUGGAGGAAUACCGGUGGCGAAGGCGGCAUCCUGGACCGACAUUGACGCUGAUGAGCGAAAGCUAGGGGAGCAAACGGG